ACUCCUACGGGAGGCAGCAGUGGGGAAUCUUAGACAAUGGGCGCAAGCCUGAUCUAGCCAUGCCGCGUGUGUGAUGAAGGCCUUAGGGUCGUAAAGCACUUUCGCCAGGGAUGAUAAUGACAGUACCUGGUAAAGAAACCCCGGCUAACUCCGUGCCAGCAGCCGCGGUAAUACGGAGGGGGUUAGCGUUGUUCGGAAUUACUGGGCGUAAAGCGCGCGUAGGCGGACUAUUAAGUCAGGGGUGAAAUCCCGGGGCUCAACCCCGGAACUGCCUUUGAUACUGGUAGUCUUGAGUUCGAGAGAGGUGAGUGGAAUUCCGAGUGUAGAGGUGAAAUUCGUAGAUAUUCGAGGAACACCAGUGGCGAAGGCGGCUCACUGGCUCGAUACUGACGCUGAGGUGCGAAAGUGUGGGGAGCAAACAGGAUUAGAUACCCUGGUAGGCGUAG
This 446-nucleotide ribosomal RNA is filed under the name uncultured bacterium. RNAcentral describes it as "bacterial SSU rRNA". It matches the Rfam family "Bacterial small subunit ribosomal RNA", at positions 335 to 799 of the family's 1533-position model. The record is from RNAcentral.